Molecule: long non-coding RNA, 812 nt
Organism: Syzygium oleosum
Lineage: Eukaryota; Viridiplantae; Streptophyta; Magnoliopsida; Myrtales; Myrtaceae
Exons: 2
Source: RefSeq, a predicted model, not a curated record
CACAAGUCCAGCACUUCCCCGGUCGUUCCACUUUUUGAUGCUGCACUUGCGAUGGAUGAUGUACACUUUUCUUUUUCUUUAUUGGACUUGUUUUACCAUAACUGGGUCAACACAAUGUCACAAAAAGUAUACACUUUUUCAACAUUUAGAAUAUAUUAAGUAAUAAAACCAAGAAAGGCAUGUCGGUUAUUUUCUUUGCUAGUGCAAUCACGUGAAGAUAUCCCCACCACCAUCAUCUGCAGAUUUCACCAUUCCUGUCCAUCGAAUUCCUCCUUGAAGUACAGGAAGAAGAAGAAGAAGCGUCACCCCUCGACAGCAUCCACAGAGAGAGAGAGAGAGAGAGAGAGAGAGAGAGAGAGAGAGAGAGAGAGAUGGAACCACCUCCGACCCAGGACAUUAGCAAGAGUUACUCAGUGGCAGAGGACGAAAAGGACCAAAAGGACAAAGCCAUCAACGAGUGUUGUUCCUGCUGCUAUGACUGCUCGGACAGCUGCUUCGAUUACAUCUUCUGCAACCUUUGCUAGUGGGGCGACCCCCUCCAGAUGACAGAUAUGGAAGACUUACCAUCAAAUUCUGAUCUGCGGUUUCUCUUCAUCAGCAAAAACUGUAGAGCACGCUGAGAGAGAAACGUGGUGCUAUUUAUUGGGUUCUCUCUGAACUGUUCUGUGAUGGUUAUGAAGCACUGGAUUUCAGCUAGAUAGUAUUUUUUUUUUUCUGGCUUGUUGUCUGAUGCAAGAAAAUCUCUGUUCUGUGAUCUCGUGUUUGAGAUGUGGCUAAAGGUCGAGGUCCAAUAAUUUGGAUUUCGGAUUACA